This 193-nucleotide ribosomal RNA is filed under the name uncultured beta proteobacterium. RNAcentral describes it as "partial 16S ribosomal RNA". It matches the Rfam family "Bacterial small subunit ribosomal RNA", at positions 337 to 522 of the family's 1533-position model. The record is from RNAcentral. Lineage: Bacteria; Pseudomonadati; Pseudomonadota; Betaproteobacteria.
GCCUACGGGAGGCAGCAGUGGGGAAUUUUGGACAAUGGGCGAAAGCCUGAUCCAGCAAUGCCGCGUGCAGGAUGAGGGCCUUCGGGUUGUAAACUGCUUUUGUACGGAACGAAACGGUCUGCCCUAAUACGGUGGGCUAAUGACGGUACCGUAAGAAUAAGCACCGGCUAACUACGUGCCAGCAGCCGCGGUC